GACACCUGGGAUCUUGUCAAAAUGAAGAUUCUGAUUCAAUAGAUCUUCAGUGUCCAAGAAUCUGCAUUUCUAGCAAGCUCUCAGGUGAUGCCAA
RNAcentral lists this microRNA precursor (94 nucleotides) under Bos taurus (domestic cattle). RNAcentral's name for it is "mir-544 microRNA precursor family". It matches the Rfam family "mir-544 microRNA precursor family". RNAcentral also lists the same sequence under 1 other name. The record is from Rfam by way of RNAcentral. Lineage: Eukaryota; Metazoa; Chordata; Mammalia; Artiodactyla; Bovidae.